UUCUUGGAUUAAACCGUGAAA
RNAcentral lists this non-coding RNA (21 nucleotides) under Caenorhabditis elegans. The record is from RNAcentral. Lineage: Eukaryota; Metazoa; Nematoda; Chromadorea; Rhabditida; Rhabditidae.